RNAcentral lists this ribosomal RNA (680 nucleotides) under uncultured bacterium. RNAcentral's name for it is "bacterial SSU rRNA". It matches the Rfam family "Bacterial small subunit ribosomal RNA", at positions 8 to 667 of the family's 1533-position model. The record is from RNAcentral.
AGAGUUUGAUCCUGGCUCAGAUUGAACGCUGGCGGCAGGCCUAACACAUGCAAGUCGAGCGGAAACGAGUUAUCUGAACCUUCGGGGAACGAUAACGGCGUCGAGCGGCGGACGGGUGAGUAAUGCCUAGGAAAUUGCCCUGAUGUGGGGGAUAACCAUUGGAAACGAUGGCUAAUACCGCAUGAUGCCUACGGGCCAAAGAGGGGGACCUUCGGGCCUCUCGCGUCAGGAUAUGCCUAGGUGGGAUUAGCUAGUUGGUGAGGUAAGGGCUCACCAAGGCGACGAUCCCUAGCUGGUCUGAGAGGAUGAUCAGCCACACUGGAACUGAGACACGGUCCAGACUCCUACGGGAGGCAGCAGUGGGGAAUAUUGCACAAUGGGCGCAAGCCUGAUGCAGCCAUGCCGCGUGUGUGAAGAAGGCCUUCGGGUUGUAAAGCACUUUCAGUCGUGAGGAAGGUAGUGUAGUUAAUAGCUGCAUUAUUUGACGUUAGCGACAGAAGAAGCACCGGCUAACUCCGUGCCAGCAGCCGCGGUAAUACGGAGGGUGCGAGCGUUAAUCGGAAUUACUGGGCGUAAAGCGCAUGCAGGUGGUUUGUUAAGUCAGAUGUGAAAGCCCGGGGCUCAACCUCGGAAUAGCAUUUGAAACUGGCAGACUAGAGUACUGUAGAGGGGGGUAGAAU